Molecule: non-coding RNA, 247 nt
Organism: Lolium perenne
Lineage: Eukaryota; Viridiplantae; Streptophyta; Magnoliopsida; Poales; Poaceae
Source: RefSeq, a predicted model, not a curated record
GUUUGAGACAGGCAUCAGAUGACAAAUCUAAGAUAUAAAAGUCCAUUCUCCUAACAUAGGUGCAUUAUUUUAGUAUAGAGGAGGAGGAGCACAAGCCUCUGCGGCAUCGCUGGGCCGCGACCAUGAAAGAUGUGAUCUCCUGCUCUGUGUCUGCUGCACCGCGGUGAGCUGAGGGCGAAAAUUUGUUGUAAGUUGUUGGUGCUGAGGCAGGUUUAUGUUUCUUACCCACCCAUACACUACAGUGCAG